GCUGGGCCUGGUGGCUCAUGCCUAUAAUCCCAGCUACUUGGGAGGCUGAGGCAGGAGGAUCACUUGUGCCCAGGAGUUUGAGGCUGCAGUGAGUCAUGAUUGCACCACUGCAUUCCAGCCUGGGUGACAGAGUGAGACUCUGUCUCUA
RNAcentral lists this signal recognition particle RNA (148 nucleotides) under Nomascus leucogenys (northern white-cheeked gibbon). RNAcentral's name for it is "Metazoan signal recognition particle RNA". It matches the Rfam family "Metazoan signal recognition particle RNA". Rfam says of the family: The signal recognition particle (SRP) is a universally conserved ribonucleoprotein. It is involved in the co-translational targeting of proteins to membranes. Lineage: Eukaryota; Metazoa; Chordata; Mammalia; Primates; Hylobatidae. The record is from Rfam by way of RNAcentral.